Molecule: long non-coding RNA, 374 nt
Organism: Passer montanus (Eurasian tree sparrow)
Lineage: Eukaryota; Metazoa; Chordata; Aves; Passeriformes; Passeridae
Exons: 3
Source: RefSeq, a predicted model, not a curated record
GACAGCACACAUCUCAAACUGGAGCAGAUACAGAGCUUUUAUCCUGACUCCGACUGUCAAAUGACCAGUUGCUGGUGCAGUGGAGGUGCAGUUCCCUGCAGGUUCUGAACCUUUUAUAGAGCCUUGGGUGAAGCUGUUGAGCUCCUGGAGUUGUGAGGCACCAGAACAGGUUGUCCAUGAAUAUGAGGGAUGAACAUUCCAGGAGGGUUUCAGAACACAGACGGACAAGGCUCUCGGUGACCUGAUCCAACCUUGAAGUUGCCUGCUUUGAAUUUGUCUAUGAUUUCAAAUUCUCUGUGCUACCAUAAGACUAGAAAAGGGAUGUUUUAUUAAAAGCCAAAAUGUUUAUUCAGUCUCUUAAAUCUGCACAUUCA